GCUUGCAAACUGAAGAUGGCGACCGGCGCACGGGUGAGUAACACGUAUCCAACCUGCCGAUAACUCCGGAAUAGCCUUUCGAAAGAAAGAUUAAUACCGGAUGGCAUACGAAUAUCGCAUGAUAUUUUUAUUAAAGAAUUUCGGUUAUCGAUGGGGAUGCGUUCCAUUAGUUUGUUGGCGGGGUAACGGCCCACCAAGACUACGAUGGAUAGGGGUUCUGAGAGGAAGGUCCCCCACAUUGGAACUGAGACACGGUCCAAACUCCUACGGGAGGCAGCAGUGAGGAAUGUUGGUCAAUGGGCGAGAGCCUGAACCAGCCAAGUAGCGUGAAGGAUGAAGGCUCUAUGGGUCGUAAACUUCUUUUAUAUGGGAAUAAAGUUUUCCACGUGUGGAAUUUUGUAUGUACCAUAUGAAUAGGGAUCGGCUAACUCCGUGCCAGCAGCCGCGGUAAUACGGAGGAUCCGAGCGUUAUCCGGAUUUAUUGGGUUUAAAGGGAGCGUAGGUGGAUUGUUAAGUCAGUUGUGAAAGUUUGCGGCUCAACCGUAAAAUUGCAGUUGAAACUGGCAGUCUUGAGUACAGUAGAGGUGGGCGGAAUUCGUGGUGUAGCGGUGAAAUGCUUAGAUAUCACGAAGAACUCCGAUUGCGAAGGCAGC
Molecule: ribosomal RNA, 653 nt
Filed under: uncultured Bacteroidales bacterium
Lineage: Bacteria; Pseudomonadati; Bacteroidota; Bacteroidia; Bacteroidales
Description: bacterial SSU rRNA
Rfam family: Bacterial small subunit ribosomal RNA
Source: RNAcentral